GCCUCAUGGAUCACUGGCAGAGCGUCUGCUUUCCAUGCAGAAGGCUCUAGGUUUAAUUUCUAGCAUCUCCC
This is a non-coding RNA of Podarcis lilfordi (Lilford's wall lizard), 71 nucleotides long. NCBI's taxonomy places the organism in Eukaryota, Metazoa, Chordata, Lepidosauria, Squamata, Lacertidae. The record is from the annotation of a GenBank genome assembly.